CCUACGGGCGGCUGCAGUGGGGAAUAUUGGACAAUGGGUGCGAGCCUGAUCCAGCCAUGCCGCGUGCAGGAAGACGGCCUUCUGGGUUGUAAACUGCUUUUGCCAGGGGAUAAAAAGACCAUGCGUGGUCAAUUGAAGGUACCUGGUGAAUAAGCCACGGCUAACUACGUGCCAGCAGCCGCGGUAAUACGUAGGUGGCAAGCGUUGUCCGGAUUUAUUGGGUUUAAAGGGUGCGUAGGCGGUCUUAUAAGUCAGUUGUGAAAUACUUCAGCUUAACUGGAGAGGUGCAAUUGAUACUGUAAGACUUGAGUACAGACGAGGUAGGCGGAAUUGACGGUGUAGCGGUGAAAUGCUUAGAUAUCGUCAAGAACACCGAUAGCGAAGGCAGCUUACUAGACUGUAACUGACGCUGAUGCACGAAAGUGUGGGGAUCAAACAGGAUUAGAUACCCCAGUAGUC
This 459-nucleotide ribosomal RNA is filed under the name uncultured Ohtaekwangia sp. Its description in RNAcentral is "bacterial SSU rRNA". It matches the Rfam family "Bacterial small subunit ribosomal RNA", at positions 338 to 795 of the family's 1533-position model. The record is from RNAcentral. Lineage: Bacteria; Pseudomonadati; Bacteroidota; Cytophagia; Cytophagales; Fulvivirgaceae.